CAAAGUGGGGGACCUUCGGGCCUCAUGCCAUCAGAUGUGCCCAGAUGGGAUUAGCUAGUAGGUGGGGUAACGGCUCACCUAGGCGACGAUCCCUAGCUGGUCUGAGAGGAUGACCAGCCACACUGGAACUGAGACACGGUCCAGACUCCUACGGGAGGCAGCAGUGGGGAAUAUUGCACAAUGGGCGCAAGCCUGAUGCAGCCAUGCCGCGUGUGUGAAGAAGGCCUCGGGUUGUAAAGCACUUUCAGCGGGGAGGAAGGCGGUGAGGUUAAUAACCUCAUCGAUUGACGUUACCCGCAGAAGAAGCACCGGCUAACUCCGUGCCAGCAGCCGCGGUAAUACGGAGGGUGCAAGCGUUAAUCGGAAUUACUGGGCGUAAAGCGCACGCAGGCGGUCUGUCAAGUCGGAUGUGAAAUCCCCGGGCU
This 425-nucleotide ribosomal RNA is filed under the name Klebsiella pneumoniae. Its description in RNAcentral is "bacterial SSU rRNA". It matches the Rfam family "Bacterial small subunit ribosomal RNA", at positions 202 to 609 of the family's 1533-position model. Lineage: Bacteria; Pseudomonadati; Pseudomonadota; Gammaproteobacteria; Enterobacterales; Enterobacteriaceae. The record is from RNAcentral.